RNAcentral lists this ribosomal RNA (200 nucleotides) under uncultured eukaryote. Its description in RNAcentral is "partial 18S ribosomal RNA". The record is from RNAcentral.
AGAUUCUUGACACGCUCCGACCGCUCCGACCGCAUCGGCACCUGACACCGACACCACCGCAUAUGCACAGCAGCACUGCGGCAGUCCAACGAGCGCGGCGCAUGUACGCAGCCAUUCCGAGUCCUCUUGAUGUUCGCGCGGCUAAGCCACCGUGGCAGCCUUUCGACAUAUGUACAGCGUGGUAGUUCCACUCACAUCAU